Molecule: ribosomal RNA, 1761 nt
Filed under: Lithocystis sp. BSL-2005
Lineage: Eukaryota; Apicomplexa; Conoidasida; Eugregarinorida; Urosporidae
Description: SSU rRNA
Rfam family: Eukaryotic small subunit ribosomal RNA
Source: RNAcentral
ACCUGGUUGAUCCUGCCAGUAGUCAUAUGCUUGUCUCGCAGAUUAAGCCAUGCAUGCCUAAGUGUAAAUAUUUUACAGUGAAACUGCGGAUGGCUCAUUAUAACAGUUAUCGUUUGAUUGGACGGAGUCAAACGGAUAUCUGUGGUAAUUCUACAGUUAAUACGUAUCACUUCUUCAUUGAAGUGUUGCAUAUUACUGUGAAUAUUCGACGAAGGUAACUUCGUCUUGCCCGAAUACUUUUAUGCACGAAUCGCAUAACUAUGCGAAAGUCCAUUAAAGUUUCUGACCUAUCAGGUUCCGACGGUAGGGUAUUGGCUUACCGUGCCGAUAACGGGUAACGGGGAAUUAGGGUUUGAUUCCGGAGAGGGAGCUUGAGAGAUGGCUACCACAUCUAAGGAUGGCAGCAGGCGCGUAAAUUACCGAUCCCUGACACAGGGAGGUAGUAAACAGAAAUAAUGACGCAUGAUUUUAAUUGUGCGAUCGGAAUGAAUGGUUUUUAAACUAAGCCAUGAAAACGAUUGGAGGGCAAGUCUUGUGCCAGCAGCCGCGGUAAUACCAGCUCCAAUAGCGUAUAUUAUUGAUGUUGCAGUUGAAACGUUCGUAGUCGACUUUCGUCGGCUUUUGGGUAUCUGAACUCUACGAGUUUUGCUUACCUUUUCGAGCUGAGAGGGGUAUAAGAGGUUUCACAGGCGUUUGCGUUUGUGAUCCUUUUAUAUGUUACUUUGAGUAAAUCGGCGUGUUCUACGCAGGCAAUCGCCUGAACGAUUUACCAUAGUAUAAUGACAUUAUGAAAACUUCUUUUUGUUUAUUCAAAGAUGUUUUCAAUAAUGACGAGAACGGCUGAGGGCAUUCGUAUUCAACUGUUAGAGGUGAAAUUCUUUGAUCAGUUGAGGACGAACAAUGGCGAAAGCAUCUGCCAAGGGCGUUUCUUUCGAUCAAGAACGAAAGUUAGGUGAUCGAAGAUGAUUAGACACCGUUGUAGUCCUAACUAUAAAGUUUACUAUCCAAGAAUUGGAUGGGUGACUUUACGCCUUUCCAGUACUUUUUGAGAAAUCAUAAGUCUCUGAGUUCUGGGGGGAGUAUAGUCGCAAGGCUGAAACUUAAAAGAAUUGACGGAAGGCCACCACCAGGAGUGGAGCUUGCGGCUUAUUUUGACUCAACACGGGAAAACUUACCAGGACAAGACAUAAGAAGGAUUGACAGAUUGAUCGCUCUUUCUUGAUUUUAUGGGUGGUGGUGCAUGGCCGUUCUUAGUUCGUGGAGUAAUUUGUCUGGUCAAUUCCGUUAACGAACGAGACCUCAACUAACUAAUUGGUGAUGUUUAUGUUUUAAAUAUAAAUAUCCGUGUUAGAAGGACCAUGUGUGUUUAACACAAGGAAGCGUGAGGCAAUAACAGGUCUGUGAUGCCCUUAGAUAUCCUGGGCAGCACGCGUGCUACAGUGAUAUAUAUAAUGUGUUACACCACCUGAGAGGGCGGUGCAAUCAUAAAUGUAUAUCAAUACAGGGAUUGCUUGUUGGAAUGUCAAGCAUGAACGAGGAAUUCCUAGUAAGCGUGUAUCAUUAGUUCGCGUUGAUUACGUCCCUGCCCUUUGUACACACCGCCCGUCGCGUCUAUUGAUUAGGUAGCAUCAUGAGUGAGGCAGAGGAGAAAUAUUUUUAGAUUCGUCUAAUUUUAUUUUACUGAAGCCCCGCGAAUGGUGCUACCCAGAAACAGACAAAGUCGUAACAUGGUUUCUGUAGGUGAACCUGCAGAAGGAUCAA